RNAcentral lists this ribosomal RNA (253 nucleotides) under uncultured bacterium. RNAcentral describes it as "partial 16S ribosomal RNA". It matches the Rfam family "Bacterial small subunit ribosomal RNA", at positions 524 to 776 of the family's 1533-position model. The record is from RNAcentral.
UACGUAGGGGGCUAGCGUUGUCCGGAAUCAUUGGGCGUAAAGAGCGUGUAGGCGGUCCGGUAAGUCCGCUGUGAAAGUCGGGGGCUCAACCCUCGAAUGCCGGUGGAUACUGUCGGGCUAGAGUACGGAAGAGGCGAGUGGAAUUCCCGGUGUAGCGGUGAAAUGCGCAGAUAUCGGGAGGAACACCGGUGGCGAAGGCGGUUCUCUGGGCCUUACCUGACACUGAGGAGCGAAAGCGUGGGGAGCGAACAGG